Clupea harengus (Atlantic herring) is the source of this 2808-nucleotide long non-coding RNA. Lineage: Eukaryota; Metazoa; Chordata; Actinopteri; Clupeiformes; Clupeidae. The record is from Ensembl.
CAGCCAUACAGUACUGGUCCGGGCUCAGUCCAUACUGGUCUGGGCUCAGUCCAUACUCUACUGUUCUGGGCUCUGUGGAGACUCCCAGCCAUACAGUACUGGUCUGGGCUCAGUCCAUACUCUACUGUUCUGGGCUCAGUCCAUAGUGUACUGUUCUGGGCUCAGUCCAUACUGUACUGUUCUGGGCUUUGUGGAGACUGCCAGUCAGAAACCGCUUUGAGUUUUGCUCUUGUUUUCUUCUUCUGAUUGCACGGAGUGAGUUGUGCCUGUCCUUGUGUCCCUGCGCACCGAGCGCGAGUCAGUCCCUUGUUUCCUGGUUUCUGACACAUCCUUGUGAGGUUCCUGUGGGUGCAACAUAGCUGAAACACGUCUGAAGACUUGGGUCUUUGCUUUAAAGAGCACACUAAUCAUUAAGACAAUGGAGGAGAGGGAAAGAGAAAGGCAGAGAGAAAGAGAGAGAGUUAAAGAGAGAGGGAAAGAGAAAGAAAUACGUUUGACUAGAAAAGCAGGCAUGUAACAUGUCAUCAAGGGCUUGUGUAAUGCAGACAGAAUUUAGACAUUGAACUAACAGAUGUAUAAAUAUAUUUACAAAUAUAUAAAUAUAAAUAUAUCUACAUACAUCAGAUAUUUAUUAACAUUCUAUGAAAUGAUAACAAUCUAAAUUACAUUAUAACUAUAUAUGAUAGGAAAUGAUAUAUUGUAUCAAGCACUGUAUGCGAUUUCAAGGACAUUUCCUGAUCAGGAAGGCUGCAGAUUCUAAAGAUGAGGAGCGCUGUAGUGGGGAACGUCAGGGGUUAGCUGCUGUAGCUCAGUGUGAGGUUCUAAAGAUCAGGAACGCUGCAGUGGGGAACGUCAGGGGUUAGCUGCUGUAGCUCAGUGUGAGGUUCUAAAGAUCAGGAACGCUGCAGUGGGGAACGUCAGGGGUUAGCUGCUGUAGCUCAGUGUGUUGGACAGACACCCUGCAGGUAAGACAACCACUGAGACUCUCCUGAACAUGGCUGGAGAGACAGAGAGACAGACAGACAGACAGACAGAGAGAAAGAGAGACAGACAGACAGACAGAGAGACAGACAGACAGACAGAGAGACAGACAGACAGACAGACAGACAGAGAGAAUGAAAGACACUGAGAGAGAGAGAGACAGAGAGAGAGGCAGAGAGAGUCUGUUGCUAUGGGGAUGACACUUGCAGCUUUCCCAGACGCACAAAGAGAGAGAAGCCUCUGCGCCUCAGCAGUAACCCCAGGUUUUGAGCACAUGAGUUGACAGGAAGUGACUCGUCCCCGUAUCAACAUGUGGACAUAAAAGCACAAAACCAGCCUCUCUAGAGAGGUCACUGUUGGGGGAGGAGACAGGGGAGCCAGAGUGACUGACAGCAGAACCAUCCAAUAGUUAGAAAGAGAGAGACAAGCACUGAGAGACCAGCUUACAGCCGUCUAGUUAGUCUGUCCAUAACGUUCUGUAAAACCAGAAGGAGAGAGUUAGGAGAGAGUUUCGAGAGAGAGUUAGUUUAUCCUAAGUGAGAGAGUUUAAGAUACAUUAUCCUAAGCAAGAGAGAUAGUUUAUCCCAAUAGUUAAUCUGCCCUAUGCACAGUAUGUCCAGCCAGAGAGAUAGAGAGUUAAGAAGAUGAUAGCUUGUCUGUAUUAAGCACAGUCUGUCUCAAGGACCCAAACCUUCACAUACGUCUGCUAUGAGACGCAUAAAGCUACCACCAUGUCAUGUUAAAGUCUGUGAAUGUGUGUUAUGCAUGGAUUAAUGUUACAUUUACUUGAAGUGAUCAAAUUAUACAAUGUGGUUUUUUUUCUGAAUGUCAUAAAGUCUGUUUGUUGUUUUUGUUUGGGUUUUCUUUACACGACUAACCAAAGGUGAUGUGUAGAGGCAAGGUCACAGCUGGAGAGCUUCCAUUGGAGGACAGCUGACCAAUGAGCUGCUGAGGGUGGGGCUACUGUCUGACCACGCCCCCAUUCUCAGUGUACAAAGCAAUAAAGCCAUGGCAACAGUCUGUGGGUUUAUCAACGUAAAAAAAAAGAGAAACACACAUUAGCACAUUAGCAUUUAGCCAUAGUGAGUUUGGUUUUAUGAGUAGUGUUUUUGUGGAUGCAAAUUUAAAACAAGAAAAAAUGAUUUAAAAAAUAAAACAUGAAAGUAAGUGUAAUUAAAAAGCUCUUUGAAGCGUAUAUAUAUAUAUAGAUAUAUAGAUAUAUAGAUCUAGCCUGAGCCCAGCCACUCUCUCAGUAGACAGAGAGCAAGCGCUGGGCCCACUCACCAGAAGAGAAUGAUAUCCCCAGCGUCGCCACGGGGACGUUUCCUAGGCGACGGCUCCAACUCCCCUGGAUGUGUGCACCUCUGUAGUGAUCCUGUGUUCUCCCCGUGGUUGCUCCCCCCCCCCGGGUUGACUGGGUUUGUCAGUGUGUAUCUCUCUGCCCACCCCCACCCCACCCACCACCCCCAACCCCCCCCCCUCACUGUCCACUGCUGUAACGAGCAAUGGCUCAAGGACUGUGUGUGUAAAGGUGUUUCAUAUAUUGUACAAAAGCGGCCGUGGUUGCCAGGCGACCUUGCGCGGUCCCGUAGUCCUGUUCUGUGCCUCUGUGUGAGUUCUACCUGUGGUUCAAUGGCUUUUUAUUUGCUGUGUUCUAUGGAGAGGGUUCUAUGGCGUUUUAUUUGCUGUGUUCUAUGGAGAGAGUUGUUGAUGUCAAAACUGAACUGCUAUAUAUAUUCUCUUUUUAUAAAAAAAGAUCAAAUUUGAUACAUGCCUGUGCCUGUUUCUUGUGUGUGUUUUAGAUCUGGUAGUCUGUCAGUAGCACGU